RNAcentral lists this ribosomal RNA (210 nucleotides) under uncultured bacterium. RNAcentral describes it as "partial 16S ribosomal RNA". It matches the Rfam family "Bacterial small subunit ribosomal RNA", at positions 524 to 732 of the family's 1533-position model. The record is from RNAcentral.
UACGGAGGGGGCUAGCGUUGUUCGGAAUUACUGGGCGUAAAGCGCGCGUAGGCGGACCUGCAAGUCGGGGGUGAAAGCCCGAGGCUCAACCUCGGAACUGCCUUCGAUACUGCGGGUCUCGAGUCCGGGAGAGGUGAGUGGAAUUCCUAGUGUAGAGGUGGAAUUCGUAGAUAUUAGGAAGAACACCAGUGGCGAAGGACGGCUCACUGG